UUAUACCUGGCGCCGGGUGCAGUGUGAUCAAAAAUGCACUGACCCCCAGUGUAGGUUUACCAUUGCACUUCGAUGGGUUGAAACUCACGACGGACUCUAAUCAGGUGCACUCGAGCGCAUAAUUUUUAUCAAUAAGGAAGCCUUACGGUCCUCU
RNAcentral lists this small nuclear RNA (154 nucleotides) under Trichobilharzia regenti. RNAcentral's name for it is "U1 spliceosomal RNA". It matches the Rfam family "U1 spliceosomal RNA". Rfam says of the family: U1 is a small nuclear RNA (snRNA) component of the spliceosome (involved in pre-mRNA splicing). Its 5' end forms complementary base pairs with the 5' splice junction, thus defining the 5' donor site of an intron. The record is from Rfam by way of RNAcentral. Lineage: Eukaryota; Metazoa; Platyhelminthes; Trematoda; Strigeidida; Schistosomatidae.